AUGGCGCAACCUAAUGUCAAACUUAUAUGCUGGAAUGUGCGUGGACUAAAUGCCCCUGCCCGUCGCGACGCCGUGAGGGACCUCGUCCGAGAUUGCAAGGCCACAAUUGUUUGCCUCCAGGAGACUAAGCUUGAUCACGUCGAUGAUGUUUUGAUUACAAGCAUGCUCGGACCCUCCUUUACUGCAAACUACAAGGUCCUCCCGGCUGUUGGCUCUAGGGGGGGCAUGAUAACGGCUGUCUCUGACUGUUACUUCAGUCUUUCGGACUUCCACGCUUCGUAAAGAACUAUCUCUGCCACCGUGACCAUGCUGGCUGAGGGCCUCGACUGGACACUGUCUUGCGUUUAUGGCCCUCAGGGAGAACAAGAGAAGCUUCUGUUCAUCAACGAUCUCAAAGAGCUGAAGUAUGUUGUCAAGCCACGAUGGCUCAUUCUUGGUGAUUUCAACCUCAUCACCAGAGCGGCUGACAAGAACAACCAAAACAUCAAUAACCGCCUCAUGGGUAGUUUCCGUUCUGCGCUAAAUCACCUACAGCUAAAAGAGAUUCGACUGUCAGGCAGAAAAUUCACUUGGUCAAAUGCUCAAGUGAAUCCAGUGCUCACAAAGAUAGAUCAUUUCUUCCACUCGGACGACUGGGAUGUUUUUCCCCAAUGCGCACCUUCAAGCCAUCUCGUCGGCCUGCUCGGAUCAUGCCCCGUUAUUCCUCCUUGGGGAUACGGAGGUAUGUCGGCGUCCAUCUUUCAAGUUUGA
This 750-nucleotide ribosomal RNA is filed under the name Triticum aestivum (bread wheat). Its description in RNAcentral is "partial small subunit ribosomal RNA". The record is from RNAcentral. Lineage: Eukaryota; Viridiplantae; Streptophyta; Magnoliopsida; Poales; Poaceae.